CAGCGGCCCUAGUGGUGAUCGUUAUUAUUGGGCCUAAAGCGUCCGUAGCCGGUUCGGUAAAUCCCUGGGUAAAUCGUUGGGCUUAACUCAACGCAUUCUGGGGAGACUGCCGAACUUGGGACCGGGAGAGGUCGGAGGUACUCCAGGGGUAGGGGUGAAAUCCUGUAAUCCUUGGGGGACCACCGGUGGCGAAGGCGUCCGACCAGAACGGGUCCGACGGUAAGGGACGAAGCCCUGGGGCGCGAACCGGAUUAGAUACCCGAGUAGUCC
This 270-nucleotide ribosomal RNA is filed under the name uncultured archaeon. RNAcentral describes it as "partial 16S ribosomal RNA". It matches the Rfam family "Archaeal small subunit ribosomal RNA", at positions 477 to 747 of the family's 1478-position model. The record is from RNAcentral.